CCUACGGGAGGCAGCAGUGGGGAAUAUUGGACAAUGGGCGCAAGCCUGAUCCAGCCAUGCCGCGUGUGUGAAGAAGGCCUUCGGGUUGUAAAGCACUUUUGUUGGGGAAGAAAAGCAUUCGGUUAAUACCCGGAUGUCCUGACGGUACCCAAAGAAUAAGCACCGGCUAACUUCGUGCCAGCAGCCGCGGUAAUACGAAGGGUGCAAGCGUUACUCGGAAUUACUGGGCGUAAAGCAUGCGUAGGUGGUCUGUUAAGUCUGAUGUGAAAGCCCCGGGCUCAACCUGGGAAUGGCAUUGGAUACUGGCAGUCUAGAGUGCGGUAGAGGGGUGUGGAAUUCCCGGUGUAGCAGUGAAAUGCGUAGAUAUCGGGAGGAACAUCCGUGGCGAAGGCGACACCCUGGACCAGCACUGACACUGAGGCACGAAAGCGUGGGGAGCAAACAGGAUUAGAUACCCUGGUAGUCCACGCCCUAAACGAUGCGAACUGGAUGUUGGGGACACUUAGGUCCUCAGUAUCGGAGCUAACGCGUUAAGUUCGCCGCC
RNAcentral lists this ribosomal RNA (544 nucleotides) under uncultured Lysobacteraceae bacterium. Its description in RNAcentral is "bacterial SSU rRNA". It matches the Rfam family "Bacterial small subunit ribosomal RNA", at positions 338 to 873 of the family's 1533-position model. Lineage: Bacteria; Pseudomonadati; Pseudomonadota; Gammaproteobacteria; Lysobacterales; Lysobacteraceae. The record is from RNAcentral.